Long non-coding RNA from Elgaria multicarinata webbii, 417 nucleotides. RefSeq lists it as uncharacterized. Lineage: Eukaryota; Metazoa; Chordata; Lepidosauria; Squamata; Anguidae. The record is from RefSeq and is a predicted model, not a curated record. The transcript has 4 exons.
GCCUUCAAUUGGAGGGGUUUUCUCCCCCCGUGAGAAAGUUUUUGAGGAUGAAUAUUCUAUAAUUGACGGUUUAACCUGAUAUGGAUACUGAACAGCAGCCUCAUAGGGAAGAAUGGCAUCACACUGAACCAAAGGGCUGAAUCUAUACUUAUCCUUCAGAGCAUGAAAACCAGCUGGCCUCAGUCUUUUGCUAGGAACCCUACUGGCUAAUUCACAAGAUGGGGUGGAAGAAGGUUCCAGCAGUGAUGAGACGAGCUGGCUUGCUUGAUGAAUUGAGAGCACUCGGCUAAACAUUAAGGAUGUGCUCCGCUUCUCCUCGGACCGGAGAAGCAGGAGCGGAUCGGGGGGCUUCGCCUCCACUUAAGGUGGAGGCGAAGAGGAUCGGGGGAGCCGUGGAGCAUUGUGGAGCUGAUGAAG